CGAGUCCUACGGGACGCAGCAGUGAGGGAUAUUGCUCAAUGGGGGAAACCCUGAAGCAGCAACGCCGCGUGGAGGAUGAAGGUUUUAGGAUUGUAAACUCCUUUUGUUAGAGAAGAUUAUGACGGUAUCUAACGAAUAAGCACCGGCUAACUCCGUGCCAGCAGCCGCGGUAAUACGGAGGGUGCAAGCGUUACUCGGAAUCACUGGGCGUAAAGAGUGCGUAGGCGGGGUAAUAAGUCAGAUGUGAAAUCCUGUAGCUUAACUACAGAACUGCAUUUGAAACUGUUACUCUGGAGUGUGGGAGG
RNAcentral lists this ribosomal RNA (305 nucleotides) under uncultured bacterium. Its description in RNAcentral is "bacterial SSU rRNA". It matches the Rfam family "Bacterial small subunit ribosomal RNA", at positions 333 to 655 of the family's 1533-position model. The record is from RNAcentral.